GCCCGAGUGAUGUAGCUUGGAUAUCAUAGAAGCCUGCGGAGCUUCCUACCCGGGUUCAAAUCCCGGCUCGGGCG
This 74-nucleotide transfer RNA is filed under the name Thermoplasmata archaeon. RNAcentral's name for it is "tRNA-Arg". It matches the Rfam family "tRNA". From Rfam's summary of the family: Transfer RNA (tRNA) molecules are approximately 80 nucleotides in length. The record is from RNAcentral. Lineage: Archaea; Methanobacteriati; Thermoplasmatota; Thermoplasmata.